GCCCCCGUGGUGUAGUGGUUAGCGCGUGGCUCUUAUAUUUUCAGAAUGACUGGAGAUAUGCCAAGAUCGCCAGUUCGAUCCUGGCCGGGGGCA
This is a non-coding RNA of Thelonectria olida, 93 nucleotides long. The record is from the annotation of a GenBank genome assembly. NCBI's taxonomy places the organism in Eukaryota, Fungi, Ascomycota, Sordariomycetes, Hypocreales, Nectriaceae.